Loxodonta africana (African savanna elephant) is the source of this 107-nucleotide small nuclear RNA. NCBI's taxonomy places the organism in Eukaryota, Metazoa, Chordata, Mammalia, Proboscidea, Elephantidae. The record is from Ensembl.
GUGCUUGCUUUGUCAGCACGUAUAGUAAAAUUGGAACGAUACAGAGCAGAUUAGCAUGGCCCCUGUACAAAGAUGACGUGCAAAUUCAUGAAGCAUUCCAUAUUUUU